RNAcentral lists this long non-coding RNA (200 nucleotides) under Gossypium raimondii (Peruvian cotton). RNAcentral describes it as "long non-coding RNA (GRAI_LNC009328)". Lineage: Eukaryota; Viridiplantae; Streptophyta; Magnoliopsida; Malvales; Malvaceae. The record is from RNAcentral.
UGAAAUUGGGAAAGGAAUAGGGGAAGAAAAUGAAGAACAAUGGAAGGGAAUGAAAAGAGAAAAGUGAGAGAGAAGUGAAGAAAUGAAUGGGUUUGAGAUGUGUUUGAAGUGAGUAGACAAUGAGGGUAUUUAUAGGUUAAGAAGACGGAUAAAAAUAGCUAGAAUCAGAAGCCAAAGACUCCCCCAUGGCUGGCCACACA